GUGGCGGACGGGUGAGUAACACGUGGGAACGUGCCCUUUGGUACGGAAUAACUCAGGGAAACUUGAGCUAAUACCGUAUGUGCCCUUCGGGGGAAAGAUUUAUCGCCAUUGGAGCGGCCCGCGUCUGAUUAGCUAGUUGGUGAGGUAACGGCUCACCAAGGCGACGAUCAGUAGCUGGUCUGAGAGGAUGACCAGCCACAUUGGGACUGAGACACGGCCCAAACUCCUACGGGAGGCAGCAGUGGGGAAUCUUGCGCAAUGGGCGAAAGCCUGACGCAGCCAUGCCGCGUGGAUGAUGAAGGUCUUAGGAUUGUAAAAUCCUUUCACCGGUGAAGAUAAUGACUGUAGCCGGAGAAGAAGCCCCGGCUAACUUCGUGCCAGCAGCCGCGGUAAUACGAAGGGGGCUAGCGUUGCUCGGAAUUACUGGGCGUAAAGGGCGCGUAGGCGGACAUUUAAGUCAGGGGUGAAAUCCCAGAGCUCAACUCUGGAACUGCCUUUGAUACUGGAUGUCUUGAGUGUGAGAGAGGUAUGUGGAACUCCGAGUGUAGAGGUGAAAUUCGUAGAUAUUCGGAAGAACACCAGUGGCGAGGGCGACAUACUGGCUCAUUACUGACGCUGAGGCGCGAAAGCGUGGGGAGCAAACAGGAUUAGAUACCCUGGUAGUCCAC
RNAcentral lists this ribosomal RNA (668 nucleotides) under uncultured Brevundimonas sp. RNAcentral's name for it is "bacterial SSU rRNA". It matches the Rfam family "Bacterial small subunit ribosomal RNA", at positions 95 to 798 of the family's 1533-position model. Lineage: Bacteria; Pseudomonadati; Pseudomonadota; Alphaproteobacteria; Caulobacterales; Caulobacteraceae. The record is from RNAcentral.